RNAcentral lists this ribosomal RNA (458 nucleotides) under uncultured bacterium. Its description in RNAcentral is "partial 16S ribosomal RNA". It matches the Rfam family "Bacterial small subunit ribosomal RNA", at positions 338 to 795 of the family's 1533-position model. The record is from RNAcentral.
CCUACGGGCGGCAGCAGUGAGGAAUAUUGGUCAAUGGGCGAGAGCCUGAACCAGCCAAGUCGCGUGAGGGAGUACUGCCCUAUGGGUUGUAAACCUCUUUUGUCGGGGAGCAAAAGCCGGACGUGUCCGGCUGUGAGAGUACCCGAAGAAAAAGCAUCGGCUACCUCCGUGCCAGCAGCCGCGGUAAUACGGAGGAUGCGAGCGUUAUCCGGAUUUAUUGGGUUUAAAGGGUGCGCAGGCGGAUUUUUAAGUCAGCGGUAAAAUCGUGGGGCUCAACCCCAUCCAGCCGUUGAAACUGGGGAUCUAGAGUGUGCGAGAGGUAUGCGGAAUGCGUGGUGUAGCGGUGAAAUGCAUAGAUAUCACGCAGAACCCCGAUGGCGAAGGCAGCAUACCGGUGCACAACUGACGCUCAGGCACGAAAGCGUGGGUAUCGAACAGGAUUAGAUACCCUAGUAGUC